AUUGAACGCUGGCGGCAGGCCUAACACAUGCAAGUCGAACGGUAACAGGAAGCAGCUUGCUGCUUCGCUGACGAGUGGCGGACGGGUGAGUAAUGUCUGGGAAACUGCCUGAUGGAGGGGGAUAACUACUGGAAACGGUAGCUAAUACCGCAUAACGUCGCAAGACCAAAGAGGGGGACCUUAGGGCCUCUUGCCAUUGGAUGUGCCCAGAUGGGAUUAGCUAGUAGGUGGGGUAACGGCUCACCUAGGCGACGAUCCCUAGCUGGUCUGAGAGGAUGACCAGCCACACUGGAACUGAGACACGGUCCAGACUCCUACGGGAGGCAGCAGUGGGGAAUAUUGCACAAUGGGCGCAAGCCUGAUGCAGCCAUGCCGCGUGUAUGAAGAAGGCCUUCGGGUUGUAAAGUACUUUCAGCGGGGAGGAAGGGAGUAAAGUUAAUACCUUUGCUCAUUGACGUUACCCGCAGAAGAAGCACCGGCUAACUCCGUGCCAGCAGCCGCGGUAAUACGGAGGGUGCAAGCGUUAAUCGGAAUUACUGGGCGUAAAGCGCACGCAGGCGGUUUGUUAAGUCAGAUGUGAAAUCCCCGGGCUCAACCUGGGAACUGCAUCUGAUACUGGCAAGCUUGAGUCUCGUAGAGGGGGGUAGAAUUCCAGGU
Molecule: ribosomal RNA, 657 nt
Filed under: uncultured Escherichia sp.
Lineage: Bacteria; Pseudomonadati; Pseudomonadota; Gammaproteobacteria; Enterobacterales; Enterobacteriaceae
Description: bacterial SSU rRNA
Rfam family: Bacterial small subunit ribosomal RNA
Source: RNAcentral